GCUUGUUAUCGCUGCCCGAGAACAAAACUAGUUUGCAAGAAUUUUCCCGGUUAGCUUGUUAUCGCUGCCCGAGAACACAACUAACUUGCCUAAUGGUCCAAUUUCAGUGGGUAUGGCAUCCGAAAAUUGAUUGUUUGAAAUGUAAAGUGCUGAAAGAUUGGAUGCAUUAGAUACCAUGUGUAAGAUAUGUCCAGAAAAUGAAUUCUUACCAAUAUCAGGCAAAUAUAUUUGUGAUAAACCCCAAAACGACCCAGAGCUUCACCGGAAAGACGGUUGUUCCGCAAUUGGACCCGAAGCAAGCUCCUGCAUUUGCCAAGAUUCGCUUGAAUAUUCCCCAUCAAGGAAUUGGAAUCCAAAUUAAGCACCUUCAGCGUCUCAUUCUUGGACAAAUUCGCUGGAAUUUUGCCUGAAAACCAAUUUCCCGACAAAUCGAGGGUUUGUAACGGCGAGUUCUUGCCAAGCUCAGCCGGCACCAUUGAGCCGAUUGGUGAAUAAUUGGAGGUGGUAUGAGUUUGGGGACCGAGCUAUGCUCUCUGGUAAGAAACCCCUCUACUUGAUUCUCCUACUAAUACAACACCUCGAUUUUGGUUUGAGAAGACUUGUUGUUGAUGUUCAAGCUGCUGCUGCAAGAGGUAAUGUCGCACAACUCAUCUGGAAUCGUUCAUUGACGCAGGUUGGACUAUCCCAGCAGCAACUUGCCGGAGAAAGAGUUGUCAGACAGCUGAAUUUGUACUGGACUGGUGAGUCGGCUAAUCCAACUCAGAAUCGACCCAUUGAGCCUAUUUGCUCGGAAGGUUAAAAGAUAUUUGAGUUGACUCAGCCUUGCAAAGAUCUCCGGAAUUGAACCCACAAAUGGGUUGAAACCUAGUUCCAACGAUUAAAAAUUCGGGAUAUUGCUGAGAAUCGCAGCGAUUCUUCGUGCAAGACCGAGAGUUUCGAGUGGCUGGAAAAGUCCACCGAAGAUAUUCGUCACCUCGAGAUUGAGGUACCUGAGCUCCGGUAUGUUAGACAGCGUGUCCGGAAACUGACCCACCAGGUGAUUGUUGGCUACGUUGAGAUGGGUAAAAGCUCUUAAUGCUCGAAUGGAGGGACCAAGCUAUGCUCUCUGGUAAGAAACCGUCUAUUUGAUUCUCGUGCAAAUUCAGCGACUCAAGAGAUAACGUGCACAACUCGUCUGCAAUCGUCCCAACCAGCUCGUUCAUCGACACGUUGAAUCGUUGCAGAGACUUCAGGUUAGACAAUCCCAGCGGCAACUCGCCGGAGAACGAGGUUGUUAAACAGCUCAAUUUGUACUAUACUGGUGCUGAAAAUCGACCUAUUGAGUCUAUUGCAAAAUAUGCAUAUACCUAGUGCAAAGUAGACCAGUAUCAAGAACCCUAGAAAUUUGUUUCUUGUGACCACGUGGUUAAUUCCUUUUUGAUCCAAGCUGUGGUGCAGACCCAUGACAUUAGGUCCUUCUCCCAGAAUUCAUGAUCAAUUGUUUAUCCAAGCUGGCGCAAUCAACAAAGGGACAGAGUCCAUGUCUGCCACUGCCGGUUCUUGGUUACAUUGCACCAGUGGGUACAAAUCGAGGGUGGACCACCGAAAGCAGCUUGAAUUAGAAGCAGCACGCAAGUCUGGUCUUGUUCCAGUUGAGGUUGAUGAGGAUGGAAACGAAAUCAAUCCUCAUAUUCCUAAAUAUAUGUCCUCUGCACCUUAGUAACUCAAUGCAGAGAAACCGAGUCUAAAUCAUCAACGAAAACAGUACUUGGAUUCAAAUACGAAAGCAUACUACGACAGGGGGACAGAAACUUUUCAGGCUAAAAAAUAUAGGAAAGGUGCAUGUGAAAACUGUGGAGCUAUGACCCGCAAUGCAAAAUUUUGCCCGGAAAGGCGUGGAAGGUGGAAGCAAUGUGGACAUAUGAAGACAUUGUGACACACGAGAAGAUAGAGAAAUUGGAACUGGAUUAUGAUGGCAAACGUGACUGUUGGAAUGGUUAUAAUGCAGCAAGCUAUGCCUAUGUCAUUGACAGAUUUGAGGCAAGGGUUGAAUCCAGGAAGAGCUAUCUGAAGCAGCAAUAUCUCAAAAGAUCUGAUGAGGAGAAAAGCAACCAGCAAAAUGGUUCCUGACAUGGAUCCAAAUUAUAAAUUAUAUAGUGGUGACCAUCAAAACAGAUCAAGUAACCAAGCUUUGUUGUUUCGGCAUUUGAGAUGUUGAAGGCCCUGAUGGGAGUAGAGCCUUAGACUGCCUGUAGGAUUCAGUAACGAAAGGAAAGACUGGUUCAAGCUUUUGCUGGAGAGGCUGCAGGCAUAUAUAAAAACAACUAGUAAGCACAAAGUAUCAUCUUUUUCUAUUUUUGCUGGUGGUGUUAGGUAAAUUGUAAUUCAGCAUCAGUUGCUCAGGGUAACGUCAAAUGCUUGGACGCCUCCUAUUGAAGGGAUGGUGAAGUGUAAUGUUGAUGCGGUUUUUAAUCCAUCUUUGCACAUUGGAGGAGGAGGAGGUGCAGUUUUUAGAGAUUUUUCGGUCUGGGUCUGCAACAUCAAUGGAAGCUAUAUGUCUUAGAAAGGCCAUGGAGUCGGCUCUAAAUGCGAAUCUUCGGGCUAUUUGGUUUGAAAGUGAUUCUAAAAUAGUGUGUGAUGUGGUGCUACAAGAUGAUGGUCAAUGUCCUGUGGAUAUUCAGGCCAUUGUUUUUGAUAUCAAAUAAGGGCUGCGGAGAUUUUCCUCGUCUGGUAUUAGUCAUGUUCGUCGGCAUGGCAACGAGGUAGCCAAAUCUAGCAUUGUCCGGACUCUGGAGUAUGACAGUAUAUAUAUAUAUAUGCAUUGUCCGGAGUAUGACAGUAGGUAGUUAUUUAAUAUGCUCUCCGGUGCUACAAGAUGGUCAAUGUCCUGUGGAUAUUCAGGCCUUUGUGAUGUCGAGCUUCUGCAUUGUCCUGAGUUUAUUCAAAAUCUAGCUUUGAAAGAUAUUUCUCAGGCGUCGUGUUGAGUGUUAUUUUUUGUGUACUUUGCCAGGAUAUAUAUAUCUAUAUAUAUGCAUAUACAUGUGAC
Molecule: long non-coding RNA, 3025 nt
Organism: Cornus florida
Lineage: Eukaryota; Viridiplantae; Streptophyta; Magnoliopsida; Cornales; Cornaceae
Exons: 5
Source: RefSeq, a predicted model, not a curated record